This is a long non-coding RNA of Capsicum annuum, 1613 nucleotides long. RefSeq lists it as uncharacterized. Lineage: Eukaryota; Viridiplantae; Streptophyta; Magnoliopsida; Solanales; Solanaceae. The transcript has 2 exons. The record is from RefSeq and is a predicted model, not a curated record.
UUAAUAGCUUUCUAGUUGAGAGGGCACUUUUAGGUACUUGAAUGGCAGUGUACCCAAAGACAGUCCUAAGUCAGUCAGGAUUUUAUCUCUAAAACCAGCUUCUACUCAUGCAAUAUAUAGUGAGAUCUGUUCCAUAUUUGCAUGAAGGCCUGAUACUCUAUAAAACUAUUGGAAUGUAUUAAAUAGAAAAUUGAUUGAAAUUUUAUCAGCCCUGCAACUCAUUAACUAGUCAUCAGCAAAACAUAUAUGGAUCAUAGCUAGUUUUUCACACCUGAGGUGAUAGUUGAAUUAUGGAUUAUGUUUCAGUUGUUGCAGGUUUCCAUUAUUAGGACAAAUAAGUAAGGUGACAUAGGAUCCCCUUACCUAAGUCCUUUCUUUACUUAGAACUGUGGGGUCAAGCCACCAUUGAUAAGGAUACUGUACUGGACUGUAGUGACACACUUCAUUAUCAAGUCUAUCAUCUUAGUAGCAGUCCAAAUUCUAGCACUACCAUUCUUAUAAAUGGCUAUUCUAUAUAUUCAUAAGCUUUUUUAAUGUCAACUUUUAUUAUACUCCUGGCAGAGACACUCUUUUGGGAAUAUCCUUUAACAAGUUCAUGAGCAAGCACAACAUUGUCACGAAUACUUCUACCCUCUAUAAAAGUUGAUUGUGCGGGGCUCACUAGAGUGUCAAUAACUAUUUUAACCUAGUAAUCAGUAUCUUAGCAAUCAACUUGUAUAAUGUAGUACAACAUGCAAUAGGCCUAUACUCUUUGACAUAAGUAGGGGUAGGGACUUUUGGGACCAGGUUAAUAGUAGUACUGCUGAUAGGUUUAAUAGUUUACCAUUCUCAAAAAAUUGAACUACCCCCGUAGUUACCUCUUCUCCUAUAAUAUGCCAAUAAGUUUUGAAAAAUUCAGCAUUGAAGCCAUCUAUACCUGAACUCUUGUCAAGAGGAAGAUCCUUUAAGGUUUGGUAUGCAUCCUUCUUGGUUAUUGGGAGCCUGAGAUGUUCUUGUUGAGAUAUUAUGAGACAAGACCCAUCUCUUUCUACACAAAUGUUAAUGCAAGGAAAAAUAAUAUACGAACGCUGCAACACCACCAACAGUGCAACAUCAACACCACCGAAAAAAUUCUUGAUGCCAUCGCUUAAUUCUCAAAUGAAGCAGAUUUUUUUCUUAAUUGUUGGGUGUUGUUUUGGUAGAAAAUGGAGGAGUAAGAGUGAAUUUUAAUGGUGGAAGAAUAGAAGAAGAAGAAGACAAAAAAAAAUAAAGUUUUCUUUUCAAAUCUUUGCUAAGAAGACAUAGUUCACUAAUCCAAGUGAAUGUAGUGAUGUGAGCGUUCAGAAAUUGAAGGAAUGACUCCUUUGCUUUACUGUGGGUAGAAUCGUACAUUCCUCAUGAACUGGGAGCAGGUAAGUUUAAGCAGGUUCCGACGUGCUGAUUUGGUGAGUGAACAGUCUUUUGGUUGUAGAGCUUUUGGUGGACAAUUUUAUGAGCCAUCUUUCGAUUGGAUUCUUAUUGUUUGGCUUUUCCUUUGAUGAUGUACACAUGCUCUUCGGUGAAAGAGAUCUUUGAUGCUAUAUUACAAAACAAGAAAGUCUCUUAUGCUUUGACUAAAAAAAAAAUUAUUAUUA